AUUGAACGCUGGCGGCAGGCCUAACACAUGCAAGUCGAGCGGAUGAAGGGAGCUUGCUCCUGGAUUCAGCGGCGGACGGGUGAGUAAUGCCUAGGAAUCUGCCUGGUAUUGGGGGAUAACGUCCGUAAACGGGCGCUAAUACCGCAUACGUCCUUAUGGAGAAAGUGGGGGAUCUUCGGACCUCACGCUAUCAGAUGAGCCUAGGUCGGAUUAGCUAGUUGGUGGGGUAAAGGCCUACCAAGGCGACGAUCCGUAACUGGUCUGAGAGGAUGAUCAGUCACACUGGAACUGAGACACGGUCCAGACUCCUACGGGAGGCAGCAGUGGGGAAUAUUGGACAAUGGGCGAAAGCCUGAUCCAGCCACGCCGCGUGUGUGAAGAAGGUCUUCGGAUUGUAAAGCACUUUAAGUUGGGAGGAAGGGCAGUAAGUUAAUACAUUGCUGUCUUGACGUUACCAACAGAAUAAGCACCGGCUAACUUCGUG
RNAcentral lists this ribosomal RNA (484 nucleotides) under uncultured bacterium. RNAcentral describes it as "partial 16S ribosomal RNA". It matches the Rfam family "Bacterial small subunit ribosomal RNA", at positions 30 to 507 of the family's 1533-position model. The record is from RNAcentral.